UUUGGGUUGGUUUCAGACCACGUGCCACCAGGGAAGAGCCUCUCCAUCCCUCCUACUUCUGCUUCCCCUCCAUCGCUCAUCUUCUGCCCUUUCCUCCAGGGUUUUGCCGGCUUGCAGGGGGGCCACGGGCACCCAGGACCUCCUGGAUCCAUAGGUUCUCUAGGAAAACCUGGACCUGAUGGAGACCCAGGUUCCCCAGGCCCAAAGGGUCUACCUGGGAAGCCUGGCUCCGAGGGGCCACAAGGACCUGUUGGCACCUACGGCUACCCAGGACCUGCCGGUGACCGCGGGAGGCCGGGACGCAGGGGAGACAAGGUAAGGCUGGGAAAUGAGGCACUGGGGUGGGAGGCCAGGCUUUGGAAAUAUUUUUUGGGUUGGGCUGUUGAUCCCAAUGGAUGGUUUUGGAUGGUGA
RNAcentral lists this long non-coding RNA (412 nucleotides) under Calidris pygmaea (Spoon-billed sandpiper). RNAcentral's name for it is "lncRNA (ENSCPGG00000013739.1)". Lineage: Eukaryota; Metazoa; Chordata; Aves; Charadriiformes; Scolopacidae. The record is from RNAcentral.